UACGGAGGGUGCAAACGUUGCUCGGAAUCAUUGGGCGUAAAGCGCACGUAGGCGGUUUGGUAAGUCGGGUGUGAAAUCCCUCGGCUUAACCGAGGAAGUGCAUUCGAAACUACCAAGCUUGAAUACUCAAGAGGGUCUCGGAAUUCCCGGUGUAGAGGUGAAAUUCGUAGAUAUCGGGAGGAACACCAGUGGCGAAGGCGGAGACCUGGGGAGAUAUUGACGCUGAGGUGCGAAAGCGUGGGGAGCAAACAGG
RNAcentral lists this ribosomal RNA (253 nucleotides) under uncultured bacterium. Its description in RNAcentral is "partial 16S ribosomal RNA". It matches the Rfam family "Bacterial small subunit ribosomal RNA", at positions 524 to 776 of the family's 1533-position model. The record is from RNAcentral.